AGAAGUGAGAAAAAAAAAAAAGAAAAGAAAAAAUGGCAG
RNAcentral lists this non-coding RNA (39 nucleotides) under Palpitomonas bilix. The record is from RNAcentral.